This 2151-nucleotide long non-coding RNA is filed under the name Sinocyclocheilus grahami. Its description in RNAcentral is "lncRNA (ENSSGRG00000052164.1)". The record is from RNAcentral. Lineage: Eukaryota; Metazoa; Chordata; Actinopteri; Cypriniformes; Cyprinidae.
CCCAUAUUCUAAUUAUUUGAAUUUUUGCACUGAGCUCCGGUUUGUUUCUGACUUCCUGCACUAGAUUUUUAGGCAGUAACUGUCAUAGAAAUAGUGCUCCUUGCAUAAGGUGCUUAGAAAACUUAGAUUCACAACUGAAUUUAAUAAAGGUGACACAAUAAGAAUAAUGCAAUACUCUAAAAUUAAACAUAUGCCUUUAAGGUGCAUACAUAUAUAUUUCCCCACAUUUUGUCUAAACUACUCAGUUUUGAAAACAAACUUUGAUCUACAAUUAUGCCUUUCAAAUGCUCCCUCCGUAGGCGGCUCAUUAGGAUUUGGAACAAAAUACUAACCUUUCAUUUGUGUUUGAUUUAUGCACUUUUCUGAACUCGUGCUUUUACUGUACGUGUGUGCAGAUUGGACCUGGCUCAGUCUCUGGGACUCACACAGCUCCAGGUGAAGACAUGGUACCAGAACAGACGCAUGAAAUGGAAAAAAAUGGUGCUAAAAGGAGGACUCGAGGCUCCUACCAAGCCCAAAGGCCGACCUAAGAAGAACUCCAUCCCAACCACAGAGGAGAUCGAGGCCCAGGAACGGCUGGCGGCCAAACUAGCGGAGGAUGAGAUGCAACCAGCCGAAGUGGAAGAGGAGGUCUUCCAAUUUCAACCUCAAGAUCUCAGUACGUCUGCUACGUCUGAAUCCGUCUGUCCAGAAACCCCGGAGCAAGAACAGGCCCCUCCGUCUCCGUCAGAAGCAAUGACGACUAGCUAAACGCAGCCAUGCUGACGCACAACCAAAGACAGCUACUGAAAGACUUUGACUCUCUCUGGACUUGAGCAGUUGAACGGCUUCCCAAGCCUGAUUUUGAGUUGACGGUGGCCCCCAAAAGCGGUACUUUAAACAUGCAAAAAUGUGUGAAAGUCAUUACAAAACAACGAAACAUCAAACCAAGUGGCUUGUAUAACCAAAACAGAUAGAAUAAGCACACUUCUCGAUAAAACAUUUCACUGAAAUAAGCUUUUUUAGGUAUUAAAUGCUAAAACAACUGGACACUGUAUUUGGACGCGUUCUGGUUGUCAGACUGUGGAUCACGUUCAUACCUAGCUAACCAAAAUUAUGUUCUAAGAAUGUUUUAAUAACGUUCCCAUGAAGUUAUGAAAGCAUUAUUUCUGAAGGUUCUCUGAAUGUUCAAAACGUUCAGUUUUUUAAAUGUUUGAGAAACGUCUGUCCUUGGUUGUUUGAAUGUUAGGAGAACAAUCCAUUUUAUCGUUUAGCAAACAUUUUGGGAAUGUUACUUUUUUGAACAUUCUGAAAAAAGCAGUUACAUUAAAAAAAUUAGAACGGCUUCCCAAGCCUGAUUUUGAGUUGACGGUGGCCCCCAAAAGCGGUACUUUAAACAUGCAAAAAUGUGUGAAAGUCAUUACAAAACAACGAAACAUCAAACCAAGUGGCUUGUAUAACCAAAACAGAUAGAAUAAGCACACUUCUCGAUAAAACAUUUCACUGAAAUAAGCUUUUUUAGGUAUUAAAUGCUAAAACAACUGGACACUGUAUUUGGACGCGUUCUGGUUGUCAGACUGUGGAUCACGUUCAUACCUAGCUAACCAAAAUUAUGUUCUAAGAAUGUUUUAAUAACGUUCCCAUGAAGUUAUGAAAGCAUUAUUUCUGAAGGUUCUCUGAAUGUUCAAAACGUUCAGUUUUUUUAAAUGUUUGAGAAACGUCUGUCCUUGGUUGUUUGAAUGUUAGGAGAACAAUCCAUUUUAUCGUUUAGCAAACAUUUUGGGAAUGUUACUUUUUUGAACAUUCUGAAAAAAGCAGUUACAUUAAAAAAAUUUAAAAAAAAGUUAGACAAACGUCCAACUAAAACGUUUCAGAAAACAAUGUGUAGAUGAUUUGUGCUAACGUUUCGAGAGCAUGAUUAAAGGGAUAGUUCACCCAAAAAUCGAAACGUAUUUCUUUCUCCGACUCAUUAUCAUGUCGUUCCAAACCUAUAUGUGUUUCUCUCUUCUGCUGAACACAAAAGAACCUAUUUUAAAGAAUGUUGGUAACCAAACAGUUGUUUGUACCAUUGACUUCCAUAGUAUUAUUUUUCUUUCAUACUAUGGAAGUCAAUGGGGUUUUUGGCCUUUCAUUUACACGACAACGGCUUUUGGGGGUCUGAAAAAAAGUUCA